AGGCUGGUUUAGUGUUGCUGAAUUCUCUCAGCUUUUGCUUAUCUGUGAAGGUUUUGAUUUCUCCUUCAAAUCUGAAUGAGAGCCUUGCUGGGUAGAGUAAUCUUGGUUGGAGGUUUUUUCCUUUCAUCACGUUAAGUAUAUCAUGCCACUCCCUUCUGGCCUGCAGAGUUUCUGCUGAAAAAUCUGCCGAUAACCUUAUUGGGGUUCCCUUGUAUGUUACUUGUUUCUUUUCCCUAGCUGCUUUCAAGAUUUUCUCUUUGUCUUUAAUUUUGGUCAGUUUGAUUAAUAUGUGUCUCGGUGUAUUCCUCCUUGGGUUUAUUUUAUAUGGUACUCGUUGUGCCUCCUGGAUUUGAGUGAGUGGUUCCUUUCCCAUGUUAGGGAAGUUUUCGGCUAUUAUCUCUUGGAAUAUUUUUUCUGUCCCCUUCUCUCUCUCUUCUCCUUCUGGCACCCCUAUAAUACGGAUGUUGGUGCGUUUAACAUUGUCCCAGAGUUCUCUGAGACUCUCUUCAUUUGUUUUCAAUCUUUUUUCUCUUUUCUGUUCUGCAUCCGUAAUUUCCACUAAUCUGUCCUCCACCUCGCUUAUUCGUUCUUCUGCCUCCUGUAUUCUGCUGUUAGCUGCUUCUAGUGAAUUUUUUAUUUCAGUUAUUGUAUUUUGCAUCUCUUCUUGUUUAAGUUUUAUAUCUUGUAUCUCUUUGGUCAGUGUUUCCUGUAAGUUAUCCAUCUUUGCCUCCAGUUUAUUUCCAAUGUCUUGCAUCAUCUUCAGCAUCAACAGUCUAAAGUCUUUUUCCUGGAGGCUGAGAAUCUCCUCAUCGCUUAGCUGAUUUUCUGGGGUUUUUCCUUUCUCCCUCAUCUGAGUUAUAGUUCUCUGUCUUUUCAUUUUUAUAGGUUUUUGGUGUGGUGACCUUUUUACAGAUAAUAGAGUUGUAGCCUCUCUUACUUCUGGUGUCUGCCCCCCUUGUGGCUGAAGUCAGUAUGGGGGCUUGCUGUAGGCUUCCUGAUGGGAGGGGCUGAUGCCUGCCCACUGGUAGGUGGAGCUGAUUCUAAUCCCUCUGGUGGGUGGGGCUUAGUCUCUGGAUGGGAUUAGAGGCAGCUGUGUGCCUGAGGGGUCUUUAGGUAGCCUGUUUACUGAGGGGUGGGGCUGUGAUCCCACCUGGAUUGUUGUUUGCCCUGGGGCUUCUCAGCACUGACUGACGGGUGGGGCCAGAUUUUCCCAAAAUGGCCACCUCCAGAGAAAGGCAGCUGCUGAAUAUUCCCGAGAGCUUUGCCUUCAAUGUCCUUCCCUCACAACAAGCCACAUUCACCCCUGUUUUCCCAGGAUGUCCUCCAAGAACUGCAGUCAGGUUUGACCCAGAUUCCUAUGGAGACCUCGCUCUGCCCUGGGACCCAGUGCACGUGAAAGUCCGUGUGCGCCUUUUAAGAAUGGGGUCUCCGUUUCCCCCAGUCCUGUGGAGCUCCUGCGCACAAGCCCCACUGGCCUUCAAUGCCAGAUGCUCCAGGGGCUCUUUCUCCCAGUGCCAGAUCCCCACACGUGAGGGUUUGAUGUGGGGCUCAGAACUCUCACUCCUGUAGGUGAGUCUCUGUGAACCAGUUAGUUUCCAGUCUGUGGAGCUUCCCACCCAGGAGGUAUGGGGUUGUUUAUAUCAUGAAAUCGCCCCUCCUACCUCUUGAUGUGGCCUCCUCUUUUUCUUCUGGAGUAGGGUAUCUUUUUUAAGGUUUCUGGUCCAUUUUGGUGACGUGUGCUCAGUCUUUAGUUGUGAUUUUCGUUGUUUUUAGGAGAGAAGUUGAGCUCCAGUCCUUCUAUUCCGCCAUCUUAAUCCCGUCUCCUCAAGGAUGGGUAGUCUUUAGGUGUUAUUUCUUGAAUCUAGAGUUAGCUUUGGUUAAAAAAAAAAAAAAGUUUCCACCACCAGAGGGAUUAUAAUACCCAGGUCAGAACAGUCCUCUCUAUUUGUAUAAAUAACUACCUCUGUAAUGAUGAAUAGCACCAUGUUAGAACCAUUUUACUGGUUUUGUUUGUUUGUUUGUUUAACAUUCUUUCCAAACUUGAUUUUGAGAACCACAUCUUGCUGGUUUGGGCUUGUCUUGUCAGACUCCUUCUGCAAAUUACUGAAUUGCACUGCCUGUGCAAGGAGUAUAUGUGGGUCCACAGAGCUGCCUGAUGAAAGUGGUACUGGCACAGCAUUUAUAGUGAACGUCCCCCAGGCUGUCUUCUCCUUGGACAUGCCAGAGAGAUUCAGCUAUUCUGUGCCAGUGUUUUCUCUUUCUCCCUUCUCCAAGGUGGCUCUCACUUUGUUACUGACGCCUGAAGUUUUGCAAUGGAGAACAGAAGGAAAACGUGAAAGUCAGCAGGCCAGUGAAGGGCAGUGACAGUCCUGGCUGGAAGGGAGUUUGCAGAGACACUGAAGAAAGUAUCCCAAGUGAAAUUGUAAAUUCCCUGUAAGAACUGUUAAAGUGGCGCUUAGCAUGUGUCAGCUUUGUAUGAAAGAGAAAGUGAUUGGAUUUGUGACACCUUACAAAAGAAGGGUGUUUUGUUGUUGUGAAGUUAUACAUCUUUUCUAUGAAGAAAUACAAGUGGUACACAUAAUUUUGAAAUUACAUUUGAUUUCACAGACUAACAUAAAUUAUUCCUUUUUUACCUUUUAGACCAAGACUACAGUAGAAUUGCACUUGCCCAUGACAGGCCAUUUUUUCAACCUGCUUGGUGUGAAUCUUUGUUGUUAUGUAUUGUUGCAAAAUGUAUAUGUUGUUUGCAUACUUUUUAAUUUAUAUAAAUAGCCUCCUCCUCUUUGGCACAUGUUUCUUAGAUGUUUUCAUCCAUCACUUAGAUUUGAGAUUCGUCUGUGUUCCAAUGUGUACACUUAAUGUAAUGCUUUCAUAAUAUAAUCCUAAUGUAAUGCAGCCUAAAACUCCAAGUUUACCACUCCACUCUUCUGGUGCUAACCACACAGACUGACCACAGUUCUCAGCCUCUAUACACAGUGCCACAAUACACAUUUUUGCAUGUAUUACUUUAUGAAUCUGAGGCAUAUUUAGAGCGAUAAUAUUUGAGAUGCAUUUCCAGGAGUGGAAUUGCUAAGUCAAAAUAUAUGCAUGUCUUUAAUUCAUCCAUCAGUACCUGUCCAAGGCAGAUGCUUCAUCUCCUGUCCCUGAGACAUGAAGCGAGGGUUUCUGUGGCCUCCAUUACCACUACCUGGCCUCCUUGUCAGACUAAUAGGUUUAAUCUGCUUUUUUAGUAGGUAUUUUAAUUCUAGACAGUAUUAUUUUAACUGUCUUGAUAUUUUCAAACUGAGUUAUGUGGGUUAUAGCUUUAUAAGUACUACAAACCUAUACUUUCCAUUUAGGGUAAAGCAAAUAAAAUUAUACCAGUCAAGAGAAAGGUCAAAGUCUCCAUUUAACUUGUUCCAUUUAGGAAGAGAAGGAGAAGGUAAAAGUCAAAGAACUCACAUAGGCAAUUGAGAACUUAGCACAGUGGCUUUCACCCUUAUAGUGACCAGAAGAACAUUUUAUGAUAAAUGCUUCAUAAUGCCAUUUUAAUAUUUUGAAGUGAAAUUUAUAGGUAAUGUAACAUAUCACAGUAUAUUUUGUUUUAAAAAUUUUUUUAUUAAAGUAUAAUUGAUUUACAGUAUUGUGCCAAUUUCUGCUAUACAGCAUAGUGAACCACUCACUAUGCUGAACAGUAGGACUUCAUUGCUUAUCCACUCUAAAUGUAACAUCAACCCCAAACUCCCCAUCCAGCCCACUCCUUAUCCCUCCCUCUUGGCAACCACAGGUCUGUUCUCCAUGUCUGUGAGUCUGUUUCUGUUCUGUAUAUAGGUUCAUUUGUGCCAUAUUUUAAAUUCCACAUAUAAAUCUUAUCAUAUGGUAUUAUGCAAUAUAUUUUAAAUGUUGCUCUAGGACUAAUAUAAAGCAGAAACAAAAGGAAAGUAAUUUAUAUUGAAUUAAUAUGUUUUUGACUAUGCAAAUGGCCAGGAAGUUCUAGUAAAAAAGCCAUAAAGAUAUAAACUCUUACAUCUAUACAUAGAAUCCCAAUGAGAUCAACAGCUAGAGAAGCUGCUUGAAACAGGUGCAUUUUAUUAGCAAUUCAAAUAUUACAGCAUUGUUGCUCAUGAUGUGUUUUUCCAAAAGAGUGAACAAUUCUCAGCAGCUUUCUUAACAAAAAAAAGUGAAACCCUGCCUCAAGUUAAAGGUAGUUGCACUCCUGGAAAAUUCAGUAAUGUUAAAACUAUUAAAAAAAAAAAGCAAGCUUUUAAAAGGUAAAAUGGAGUUAGAUUGCAGGCUCAAAGAUUUUGAGCAAGGUUUUCCUCCUGCAUUAAUUUUCCUUAAGACAUUCAAAAGUGAUGUGGAAUGAAUACAGGGUGAUUCAUUUUUGAUGACCCUCCCAUUCUCUCCUAUGUUUGCCUCUACCUGCAAAACACUAGCAGCAUCCAUUGCACAGUCAAAACAGCUUCUAGAUGUGCAACAUUACUGGCUUGGCUAAAUGAUCCUUGAAACCAAGUCUAAACAUGUUAUAACUGUUUUAACUUGGCUUAAAUCUUUUUAACCUAACAAGUCGCCAGAACCAUUUACUGUUCAAUAAAGCAAAUACUAACAGGAAUUCCCUUGUGGUGCAGUGGGUUAAGGAUCUGGCAUUGUCACUGAAGUGGUUCAGGUCACUGCUCUAGUGCAGUGACAUAGGUUCAAUCCCUGGCCUGGGAAUUUCCACAUGGCAUGAGUGUGUCCCCCUAAAAAAAGCAAACACUAACUUGCUAACUGUUCAGUUUAAUUAAGUCGCAUAUAUCAAACCAUGAUGUAUGGAAAGGAAAAAUAAACAACUAAAUUUAAUGAAUCCAAGUUUAAUAUCUCUUUCAUCAUAUGUAGGAGAAGCAAUCAUUGAUGAGAAUGGAAAUUAUAGGUUUUUUGGAGUUCCUGUCGUGGCUCAGUGGUUAGCAAAUCUGACUAGGAACCAUAAGGUUGCCAGUUCGAUCCCUGGCAUUGCUCAGUGGCUUAAGGAUCCGGCGUUGCCAUGAGCUGUGGCGUAGGUUGCAGACACGGCCAGGAUCCUGUGUUGCUGUGGCCCUGGCAUAGGCCAGAGGCUACAGCUCUGAUUAGACCCCUAGCCUGGGAACCUCCAUAUGGUGUGGAAGCGGCCCUAGAAAAGGCAAAAAUAAAAAAAAAAAAAAAAAA
Molecule: long non-coding RNA, 5160 nt
Filed under: Sus scrofa (pig)
Lineage: Eukaryota; Metazoa; Chordata; Mammalia; Artiodactyla; Suidae
Description: lncRNA (ENSSSCG00015038655.1)
Source: RNAcentral